UAUAGGCAAUUGCCGAUUCUUCAAUUAAAUAUUUCGUAAUAUGAUAUACAUAGACAAAGACACCUACGGAUAAAGUUAAAAUAGUCGUAAUAGUGAUAGUAACAGUAAUAGCGAAAACGAAUCAUUUUCAGUUCGCAAAUGGUACAAAAUUUUUGCACAAUACUGUAUAGGUGUGUUUGCGUGUGUUGCGUGAAUGAUAACUGCAUAGCGAAAACGGACCUCGUUUUAGGUGACAAGUCGAUGUAAACUACGAUACGGAAAGAUCCGGUGACGUAUGGAGGGACAGUUCCAUUAAUGCUGUUCUACAGAGCUUGUCCAGAAUUAAUCACCGGGUCACCAUUCAAGCGUUCCUUGGUUUGUUACGGUUUUUUCCGGGAAUUUACCGUUUAACACCGUCCAACCAAGUAACGGAUGCGCAAGCAUUUUCGUCGUUCGUACGUAAUUUAUGGGAUAAAACGCAUAAAAGUCGAAGAAAAGGUUUUAGAAAUUAAAAGUAACGACGCUUUAAAAGAGAUUGAACGAAAUUGCAAGUUGGAGAAGUAAGACUGAGAAAGUAAAAUUAAUAUUAUUCCAGUUAUAAAAUAGUAACGAUGAAAAAAGAUUUUAGGACAUGACAUUUAAUUUAUAACAGACUUUCGUACGACGAUAGAAGCCGAUAUAGCGAGUUCGGUGAUAUAUAGCUUUAGAGAUGGAUGAUUGAUGGUUUAAAGGAUGUUUAAAGGUAAAGUUUGGAAGAGAUUUUUAUAUUCCGUAGCAUAAGCAGAAUCGGAGAUCGUUACUGAUUUAUAAGAUCAUUUUUCAGGUCAGUCACUUUUAUCCUGCGAUAGUUAAAAAAAUUAAGUUCUUGAGUACUGCUAAAUCCUAAAUUUACAACUGUAAAAUUCCAUCGUUGACUUCUGAAAUUUGUAUCAUCGAUUUGAUAAAGUACUGUUUGCUGUAACAGCAGCUUGGUGUUUUAUUUAAUCGUAUAGCUUUACCUCGUUCUUUAACAGAGGUUUCUACGGAUCUCAAUUUCCAGGUAUCCUUAAAUAUAUUGGAAAGUAAAAAGGUGUUGACGAAUAUUUUCUAAAAUAAUUUUUUGGUAUUCUCGAUAAAAUUUUUGAUAAAUUAAAUUUCAUAAAGUAAAUUUUUUGAUAAAUUUUAUUAUCACCUUAAUUUUUACCAAUUUUGGAUCCAAUCGAUUUUGGAUACAAUCGAUUCAUCGAUUCCAUCUGGGUGUAUCGUGUCCAUCUUUUCGUUAGUCUUUUCCUCCGAAAGAUCGUUAUUUGCAACAUGUUCUCAUUGCACAACGGUAUCGUCAGCAAUUUUCUUUUCCCCGAGUUUCUUCAUUUUUUCGUUUGAUUUCGUGUUGGUUGGCAGCUCCUCCCAAUGCACCCUUCACCGUGCGCAAUUUUUACUGCAGUUCAAACCGUGCCACCCAUAACCUAUCAUAUUCCUUUUCGACGUCCGAAGAAUCAUGCCAGAAAAAUGGAAAAGAAGAGCUACUACGUUCUUGGAAUCCGCAAUGUGGCACGCGAACUUGUUGAAAAGUUUCGAGUUCGAAUCAUAUUUUAGUUGGUUCUUAUCUUGCAUAGAACCUAUCUUGCCUGAAUUUCGUCGUAGAUUUAAUGGCAGUUCAAUAGAGAAGUCCUCUUGAUCUCGUAAAUUUUAAAAGAUAAUUUUAGAAUUAAAAAUUUGAGAAUUACACAGUGCAAAUUCUUAAAUACGAUAUGAAAAAUCUUCGUCGGUCGAAUAAUCACAAAUAUUUUUGGAGAAAGCGUUUAAAUUAUUGAAGCCUGCCAUAAACAUUAUCUUCACUUGACUUUCCCAACGUAAUCUUUCCUACCUCCGACAUAAUUUUCUAUCUAUUUAUGCUCUUUCUUUUGUACUCUUUUCCCAACUUAUCCCAUUUUGCUGAUUUCCUCUCUUUGUCUUGCCGGAAUCUUCUCGCGAGCAGCAUGGAAAGACCAUCCCUGCGUCGAGUUCAUCCGAACUUGUUUGAAAUCUUCGAAACGAAUACUGUCAAAACUUCUUUCACGGGGAGACUAACUUCGCCGGAUCGGUUAAUUAGUGCCUCGAAGCUCGACAAGCAGCGAUGGAAAUUGGAGUAACAUGUUGAAGAAAUCCAUGGAAAAUUGAUAAACCGCUACUACGAUAUCGUUGAAAAUUGAACAUCGAGAGGAAUAUUUAAAAUAAACAAAUUUAAUCUCACUAUUUUGGAGGAAGAAAAUUAUGUCAACAAACCAAUAUGCAUUUUAUAAAUGUUACAAAUUUUAAAUAGACUCUCAGGAUUGUUUUACGUUAGAAAAUUCUUUAAUCAAAUAUCAACCUUGACAAGUUCUCCAAAUCUAUUUGACGCGAAAUCACAACGAUAUUCGAUUAACUGAAAUCACUAUAAAACACGUUCAUCCUGAUUGGUAUCUAGAAAAAGGAGGCUUAAAACGCACAGAAAAGAAGAAAGAAAUAAAAGUCGGCGUGGCGGUAGUUGAUCCACCGACACGACGAUCGAAUGAAGCAACGAUGCCAUUCAUUCGAAUAACACCGGAAGAUUUACUCGCGACGGAGCUUCCUUUAUUUGCAGCGACUUGGUCUUCCUGGAGCUACCAUGGUAAACUUUAUCUCCACAGCAAAACGAGAAACUUCCGCGGAGGCAAACGAACGAAAUAUAAAAGGAACCGUUACGCGAAAUAAAACUAAAGGAGCGGGAAUGUGAACACCGAGGGUAUGAAUGGUGAAGAUGGAAGGGAUUGAAUAAGAGAGAGAAUGGUGGAGAAAGGCAGAAAUUGAAGAAUGCAACGAUGCUGAGGGAAACGGGACUCAUUUCCAACCGAUCCCACGGUAAUCCGCAAGCGUUUUCCGACUGAUUGACAUUUCCUCGAUUUUCUACUACCCCGGCGUAUCGAACAUCGCCUCUGCUACUGUUACCGACAGCUUCGUCCACCAAAAGUCUCAUCUCGUAUUAGAACAUUGGCCACCUUAUGCUUGUUACGUUAGUUCUGUUUUACGAAAUCUCGAAAUUAGUGAAGGGAUGUCGCGUAUUAAUUUUUUACUCUUGUAAUGCCAGUCCCCCAAAAAAGGUCGUAUAACUAUAGCGAUAAACAGAAUUUUCAUCGUUCCAAAAAUUUGAUACAAAUCAGCAUAUGCGAAUCAUUCAAGUUUGAAACGCAUUGAGAAAUCUGAGCGCGCGUACUCUCGGCUGUAAACUUGCCCGAGUUUCGGUUAGUGCUUUCGAAACGAUUUGCCAGGCAGAAAGCCGUAGGAAAAAGGCAGAAAAAGUCGACACAAGAUCCAAAGUUGCCCGAAGGAGAAACGUUUUACGCGUUUCACUCCUCUUUCACAGGGGAGAGCAUUUUUUUCCACCUCUUCCACUUGCCGUUCGAAAAACUCCAGGAAAAAAAGGUAUGGCGUUUCGUGAACGAUCCUACGCAAGGUGUCGCUCGCGCAUUAUCAUGCCAUCCAUACGGACAAGUUUUAUGGAAUAGUCAAACCGUUACCGUAGAAUCGAACCAAACGAGAUUUCGUUCGUACCGAUACGCUGCGAAUUCGAACCGCGAAAAUGAAAUUUAUGCCACCAGAGAAAUAAAAACGUAUGCCUGCUUGGCUUCCAAGUUAUAGCCUCGAAUCUGGUAGUCGUAUUCGUGAUAUGCAGUUCUCAAAAAUUUUAUACCUUUUUCACGUUUCUCCGGAUCGCUGUUCAUCCCCUUAGAGUCGAGACAAAUGGAAAUAGUAUAAGUAGGCGAUGUCGUAAAGGAACGGUGCAGUUUGUCAACCUGAUUUAGGCUUUGAUUUACAUUGGUUGCGUUUGAUGUGUCAGUCAUUGCGAUAUUUAAUUAUUUUAUCUUUGUUAUUACAAAUUAUGCAACAGAGUUUACUGUAAAUUAAAAUAUUUGAAUUAAAAAAUUCUUGUACCUAUUACAUAGAUACAUAAUGAGCAUGUCUGACUACAGUGUGAUUUUUCUACUGACGUUCUCAAGUGCUGUACAACGUUCAGAAAUAUCUGAUAUGUCAUGUAUUUCUUAAAAGGUGAUUUAUACAAAAGUAAG
Bombus pyrosoma is the source of this 4022-nucleotide long non-coding RNA. RefSeq lists it as uncharacterized. Lineage: Eukaryota; Metazoa; Arthropoda; Insecta; Hymenoptera; Apidae. The transcript has 2 exons. The record is from RefSeq and is a predicted model, not a curated record.